CCUACGGGUGGCAGCAGUCGAGAAUCAUUCACAAUGGGGGAAACCCUGAUGGUGCGACGCCGCGUGGGGGAAUGAAGGUCUUCGGAUUGUAAACCACUGUCAUGUGGGAGCAAAUUAAAAAGAUAGUACCACAAGAGGAAGAGACGGCUAACUCUGUGCCAGCAGCCGCGGUAAUACAGAGGUCUCAAGCGUUGUUCGGAAUCACUGGGCGUAAAGCGUGCGUAGGCUGUUUCGUAAGUCGUGUGUGAAAGGCGCGGGCUCAACCCGCGGACGGCACAUGAUACUGCGAGACUAGAGUAAGGGAGGGGGAAGCGGAAGGAUCGGUGUAGAAGGGAAAUGCGUAGAUAUCGAGAGGAACACUCGUGGCGAAGGCGGGUUCCUGGACAUUAACUGACGCUGAGGCACGAAGGCCAGGGGAGCGAAAGGGAUUAGAUACCCUUGUAGUC
RNAcentral lists this ribosomal RNA (446 nucleotides) under uncultured bacterium. RNAcentral describes it as "partial 16S ribosomal RNA". It matches the Rfam family "Bacterial small subunit ribosomal RNA", at positions 338 to 795 of the family's 1533-position model. The record is from RNAcentral.